RNAcentral lists this ribosomal RNA (253 nucleotides) under uncultured bacterium. RNAcentral's name for it is "partial 16S ribosomal RNA". It matches the Rfam family "Bacterial small subunit ribosomal RNA", at positions 524 to 776 of the family's 1533-position model. The record is from RNAcentral.
UACGUAGGUGGCAAGCGUUAUCCGGAAUUACUGGGCGUAAAGCGCACGCAGGCGGUCUUGUAAGUUUGACGUGAAAGCUCCCGGCUUAACUGGGAGAGGUCGUUGAAUACUGCGAGACUUGAGUUUAGGAGAGGGGUGUAGAAUUCCCGGUGUAGUGGUGGAAUGCGUAGAUAUCGGGGGGAAUACCAGUGGCGAAAGCGGCACCCUAGCCUUUGACUGACGCUCAUGUGCGAAAGCGUGGGGAGCAAACAGG